CCCUGUGCCUGACAUCCCCACACCCCUGUGCCCAGCAUCCCUGUGUUCCCAUACACAGCAUCCCCACAUCCCUGUGCCUGACAUCCUCAUGUCCCUAUGCCCACCAUCCCUGUGUCCCCAUACACAACAUCCCUGUGCCUGACAUCCCCUUGUCCCCAUACACAACAUCCCUGUGCCCAGCAUCGCCAUGUCCCCAUACACAACAUCCCCAUAUCCCUGUGCCCACCAUCCCUGUGUCCCCAUACACAACAUCCCUGUGCCCACCAUCCCCAUGUCCCCAUACACAACAUCCCCACAUCCCCGUGCCCACCAUUUCCAUAUCUCCAUGCCCAUCCUCCUGCUGUCCCCAUGCCUGGAGUCCCACAAGUGACAUCCCCACGUCUACAUCCCUCUCCCUGCACCUCCAUGCCCAGCAUCCCCAUAUCCCCAUCCAUGGUUCUCACCACCCCACAUCCUCAUCCUUUGCAUCCCCAAAUCCCCACGUCUGUUGUCCCCAUGACCCCACAUCCCAACCCCAUAUCCCCACACCUCACAUCCCAAAUCCCAACCCCACACCUCACAUCCCACAUCCCCAUCUCUGUAUCCCCACACCUCACAUCCCAAAUCCCAACCCCACACCUCACAUCCCACACCCCUACCCCAUAUCCCCACACCUCACAUCCCACAUCCCUGUCCCUGUAUCCCCACACCUUACAUCCCAUAUCCCCACACCUUACAUCCCAUAUCCCCACACCUGUGGUCCCCACUGAACUCACAUCCCAAAUCCCAACCCCACAUCCUCACCCCUCACAUCCCCAUCCCCAUAUCCCCACCCCUCACAUCCCAAAUCCCCACACCUGUGGUCCCCAUGACCUCACAUCCCAUAUACCCACAAUUCCCAUCCCACAUCCCCAUCUCUGUAUCCCAUCCCAUCCCAUCCCAUCCCAUCCCAUCCCAUCCCUCCAUGCUGGGAAAAGCAGGAUUGGGCUUUCACCCCCCCCACAGGCCCUGCUUGGUGCCAUCCCUGGUGACAACGAGGUGUCACCUCAUCCCUUUGCUGUCCCCACAGUGCUUCAUGAACGCAGUGCUGCAGUGCCUGAGCAGCACCAAACCUUUACGGGAUUUCUGCCUGAGGAAGGAAUUCCUACAAGAGCAGCCGCCCGGACCCCGCAGCCCACAGGAGCUCACUGAGGGUGGGUGCUGCCCCCCCUCACCCC
This is a long non-coding RNA of Phasianus colchicus (ring-necked pheasant), 1196 nucleotides long. NCBI's taxonomy places the organism in Eukaryota, Metazoa, Chordata, Aves, Galliformes, Phasianidae. The record is from Ensembl.